GUUGAGUAUGGUGGUGCUUGCCUAUAAUCCUGGUAUCUCUGGAAGCUGAGGCAGGAGGAUUACAAGUUUGAGGUCAGCCUCAGCAACUUCGUGAGACCCUGUCUCAA
This 107-nucleotide small RNA is filed under the name Marmota monax (woodchuck). Lineage: Eukaryota; Metazoa; Chordata; Mammalia; Rodentia; Sciuridae. The record is from RNAcentral.